UGGGGAAUAUUGGACAAUGGGCGGAAGCCUGAUCCAGCAACGCCGCGUGAGGGAUGACGGCUUCGGGUUGUAAACCUCUUUCAGCAUAGACGAAGUCUUGCCUUUUUGGGUGGGGUGACGGUAUGUGCAGAAGAAGGACCGGCCAACUACGUGCCAGCAGCCGCGGUAAU
RNAcentral lists this ribosomal RNA (170 nucleotides) under uncultured bacterium. Its description in RNAcentral is "partial 16S ribosomal RNA". It matches the Rfam family "Bacterial small subunit ribosomal RNA", at positions 355 to 524 of the family's 1533-position model. The record is from RNAcentral.